Molecule: ribosomal RNA, 396 nt
Filed under: uncultured bacterium
Lineage: Bacteria
Description: partial 16S ribosomal RNA
Rfam family: Bacterial small subunit ribosomal RNA
Source: RNAcentral
AUACGUAGGGAGCGAGCGUUGUCCGGAAUUAUUGGGCGUAAAGCGCAUGUAGGCGGUUUGGUAAGUCGGUCGUGAAAAUGCGGUGCUUAACGCCGUAUGGCGAUUGAAACUGCUGAACUUGAGUGCAGGAGAGGAAAGGGGAACUCCCAGUGUAGCGGUGAAAUGCGUAGAUAUUGGGAAGAACACCGGUGGCGAAGGCGCCUUUCUGGACUGGUUCUGACGCUCAGAUGCGAAAGCCAGGGUAGCGAACGGGAUUAGAUACCCCGGUAGUCCUGGCUGUAAACGAUGGGUACUAGGUGUGGGAGGUAUCGACUCCUUCCGUGCCGGAGUUAACGCAAUAAGUACCCCGCCUGGGGAGUACGGCCGCAAGGCUUAAACUUAAAGGAAUUGACGGGG